Molecule: ribosomal RNA, 39 nt
Filed under: Streptacidiphilus jiangxiensis
Lineage: Bacteria; Bacillati; Actinomycetota; Actinomycetes; Kitasatosporales; Streptomycetaceae
Description: 16S rRNA. Bacterial SSU
Source: RNAcentral
CAUUCACGGAGAGUUUGAUCCUGGCUCAGGACGAACGCU